AUAUGUAUAUAGUUUUUUUUUAAUCCAGUUAUCGAAUUAGUUUUUCUUUUGUUUUGGAACAGCUGUUUACUUAAAUUUCCUUUAUGAAAGUUGAUGACGGCAUGUGCAACACUUAAAGAUAAGUAACAAAGUUUAUUAUUAUUUUUUCCAUAGUCUACAAUAUAUAUAUAUAUAUAUAUACACACACACACAUAUGCAAGUGUAUGCAUGCACACGCAUUUUAUACAAAUGAAGUUUUCAGUGGGUUUUUGCCUAUAUAUGUAAGCUGAAAGUUGGACACAUACCAGAGACUGCUCGAAUUUCGGAAUCUUCCGAAAUUUAUGAUAUAUAGUAUAUAUAUAUAGUUAUAUAGUUUAUACACAUUUAGAAUGCCUGUGUGUGCACGUGGAGCGCGAGCGUUCAAUAGAAAACGUUAACUAGAGUGUUCAUUAUGUGUGUGUGUGUUUGUUUUUGUGGGUGUGAGUGUGUGUGUGGGUGUGCGUGAGCCGGCUGACAUUUCGGUGUGUUAUAGUUGUUCGUGUUGUUCUUGCAUUUAACCGUAUUGUGAUUGUUGC
Drosophila arizonae is the source of this 554-nucleotide long non-coding RNA. The record is from RefSeq and is a predicted model, not a curated record. Lineage: Eukaryota; Metazoa; Arthropoda; Insecta; Diptera; Drosophilidae.